UCUUAAGUCUCAUUCCUAAGAAAUAAAACCACUCUUUACCAUUCUUUAGCAUUCUUUAGGGCCAGCAGUCUUAUGUAUUCUUUUCGUUCUUUGGGGUGUUCUUAUACAUUCUUAGGCCAACUUAUUCAUUCUUUGCCUAAAGCAUACUUAGCUGCUCUUUGGCCGGUUUUAACCGUUCUUACCAUAGGUUCGCUAAGUAUGGCACUCAUUCUUAAGUCAUAUUCUCAGGAAAUUCUUUUUGCUGCUUACAUUCUUAAGCCUUAAAAAAUGUGGGAUUCUUAAGGGUCAUGAUGAAAAUUCAAACACACGUUUCGACCUCUGCAUUCUCACAUGCACCUCUAUUGGUAGGCGCCCUUUAUUAGGGUAUCUUAGGGUUUGGUUUUUAGGGUUUUAGGGUAUCCACAUGGUUAUUCUUACAUUGAAAUCCAUUUCGCGUAUUGUAUUGGAAUCGAACCUAAGACUGCGAUACUAUUAUACUAUAAUGUUUCCCUAAACCUAUGCUGUAAUAAACGACACCUCAACUUAAAUUAUUGUCACAGCAUCCAAAGGUUCUGUAUCUAUUCUAAAACGUGUGCGUAUACUAUGAGCUGCGCCAAGUGCCGUACACGAACAUAUGUGCGUGUACGACAAACAACUCAACACCUGUUCAGCAACUCAGCUAUCA
This 664-nucleotide long non-coding RNA is filed under the name Volvox carteri. RNAcentral's name for it is "long non-coding RNA (VCAR_LNC003751)". Lineage: Eukaryota; Viridiplantae; Chlorophyta; Chlorophyceae; Chlamydomonadales; Volvocaceae. The record is from RNAcentral.